Molecule: ribosomal RNA, 405 nt
Filed under: uncultured bacterium
Lineage: Bacteria
Description: partial 16S ribosomal RNA
Rfam family: Bacterial small subunit ribosomal RNA
Source: RNAcentral
AUUGAACGCUGGCGGCAGGCCUAAUACAUGCAAGUCGAACGAGUGGCGGACGGGUGAGUAAUGUCUGGGAAAUUGCUCGAUGGAGGGGGAUAACUACUGGAAACGGUAGCUAAUACCGCAUACCAUCAGAUGUGCCCAGAUGGGAUUAGUUUGUUGGUGGGGUAACGGCUCACCAAGGCGAAGAUACCUAGCUGGUCUGAGAGGAUGACCAGCCACACUGUAACUGAGACACGGGCCAGACUCCUGCGGGAGGCAGCAGUGGAGAAUAUUGCACAAUGGUCGCGAGCCUGAUGCAGCCAUGCCGUGAGUAUGGAGGAGGCCUUCGGGUUGUAAAGUACUUUCAGCGGGGAAGCGUUACCCGCAGAAGAAGCACCGGCGAACUCCGUGCCAGCAGCCGCGGUAAUA